This 253-nucleotide ribosomal RNA is filed under the name uncultured bacterium. Its description in RNAcentral is "partial 16S ribosomal RNA". It matches the Rfam family "Bacterial small subunit ribosomal RNA", at positions 524 to 776 of the family's 1533-position model. The record is from RNAcentral.
UACGUAGGGUGCAAGCGUUAAUCGGAAUUACUGGGCGUAAAGCGUGCGCAGGCGGUUAUGCAAGACAGAUGUGAAAUCCCCGGGCUUAACCUGGGAACUGCACUUGAAACUACGAUGCUGGAGUAUGGCAGAGGGAGGUGGAAUUCCACGUGUAGCGGUGAAAUGCGUAGAGAUGUGGAGGAACACCGAUGGCGAAGGCAGCCUCCUGGGCCAAUACUGACGCUCAUGCACGAAAGCGUGGGGAGCAAACAGG